AUUCGUAUGACGAGUCUUAAAUAGGACGAAAUGCGCAUCCUGGAU
Molecule: non-coding RNA, 45 nt
Filed under: Trichobilharzia regenti
Lineage: Eukaryota; Metazoa; Platyhelminthes; Trematoda; Strigeidida; Schistosomatidae
Source: RNAcentral